RNAcentral lists this long non-coding RNA (2261 nucleotides) under Mytilus galloprovincialis (Mediterranean mussel). Lineage: Eukaryota; Metazoa; Mollusca; Bivalvia; Mytilida; Mytilidae. The record is from RNAcentral.
GUUGGUUAUUUAUUGCGUUGGACAACUUUAGGAAACUCGUUAAGGAAAGAAAACAAAUAAGAAACAGACGUCAGUCAGAAGGUGAGAACUCAGUGGAUAAUCAGAAUGAACGAACAGUUAGAAAAUCAUUGAACGGAGUAACGAAAGAUGUUCAGAUCACUUUACCGACAACUGAAACUCUUAAUAGAUCAGAAAUGGCUAUCAUUAAAUAUGAACAAAGUGUUCACUUUGAAGAAGAAAUACAUGUACUUCAAAAUAUAGACCGAGGUAAAGUGUUAAAGAAGUCAUCUAAACUCUUCAAACUUAAUCCAUUUAUAGACGAGAAUGGUUUGUUAAGAGUAGGAGGAAGAUUAGAGCGUGCUGAAUUACCGUAUGAUGCGAAACAUCCAAUAUUAUUACCGAAAGACUCUAACAUUUCAAAGUUGAUCAUUGAAGAUAUUCACCGUUCAGUAGGACACUUGGGUAAAAACUCAAUUCUGGCGCAACUAAGGCAAACAUUUUGGAUUAUUGGUGCUAGCUCUAUGAUUAAAGGAAUAGUAUCAAAAUGUGUAAUCUGUAGGAAGUACUGUGCACCAUUUGUUGACCAAAAAAUGGCUAAUUUUCCAAAGGAGAGACUUAUAUCCGAUAAACCACCAUUUACGAUGGUUGGAAUGGACUUUUUUGGACCGUUUCAGAUCAAACAAGGAAGAAGUUUAGUGAAACGAUAUGGGGUUAUCUUUACUUGUCUCUCCAUCCGUGCCGUUCACUUGGAAACCGCACAUUCUAUGGAUACAGAUUCUUGUAUAAACGCAAUCAGACGUUUGAUAUCUCGCAGAGGAAAGCCAGAAUUCAUAUUAAGAUCAGAUAACGGAACAAAUCUAGUUGGAGCAGAAAGAGAAAUGAGAGAAGAAAUAGAAAGAUGGAACAUAGACAAGAUAAAUAAUUUCAUGCUUCAGAAAAGUAUAAAAUGGGCAUUCAACCCUCCUGCCGCGUCACACUUUGGAGGCGUGUGGGAGAGAUUAAUAAGAUCAGUAAGAAAGGUGUUAUAUUCUGUCAUGCAAGAGCAGAGUCUUCGAUUGAACGAUGAAAAUCUGAAUACAUUGUUUUGUGAAGUGGAAGCAAUCUUGAAUAACCGUCCGAUUUCUGAAGUAUCUGAACACGUAGACGAUUUAAAGGUCCUUACUCCGAACCAUCUUCUCUUAUUAAGACCUGGCGAAUACUUUCCUCCAGGAACUUUUUGUAAAACAGACAAUUACGUAAGAAGACGUUGGCGACAAAUACAAUAUCUAGCAGACAUUUUCUGGAAGAGAUGGACUCAUGAGUAUUUGCCUUUAUUACAAAGUAGGCAAAAGUGGAACUCUGAAAAGCGAAACUUGAAAAUAGGAGACAUUGUAUUGAUCCAGGAUAAUACACCGAGGAAUCUUUGGAACUUAGGAAGAAUCAUUGAAGUACUAAAGGACAAGUCAGACAAUGUUCGUAUAGUGAGGCUAAAAACAUAUUCAACAACAUUAUUACGACCAGUCGCAAAGUUGUGUUUGGUAUUAGAAGCUGAUAUUUAGAGUCAUAGUUUGAACUAGUCAUGUUAGAACAGUAACUUGUGUUUGAAAAGUACUUUGUUGUAUAAAUGGACUAUAUAAAGGUUUAGUUUAUUGAUUGUCACUUAAAUUGGGAAAUUAUUUGGCCUUAUUAUAAUUUUUGAUAAUUGAGUUCUUUAAGACCACAAUUAAGGGGCUGGAAUGUAGCGGCCAAAUUUGAGAACAAAAACCAUUGUUGCCUAUUGUUGUAUUUUUUGGUAAUUAGUGAUAUUCUAUUUUGAGACAAGUUACUUUCCCUUUACUUUAAUGAACCCCUUCAGGGAAUUUGCACGAAACGUGCUUGGUGAAAAUCUUUGAUUAUGAUGAAAAUAAGGAAUACCAGAGUCAACCAAUAUGGUAUGUUUCUUUUAUUUAUUGCAGAUAAAUUAUCUUUCAUGUUUAAAGUUAGAAAUUUUGAGUUUAAUUGAUGUAAAACCGAUGAAAGUUGACCUUGAUAAUUUGGCAAUUAUUUAACGUAAAUGUUCAUGAUAAUACUUUUUUGAAAGAGAACAAGUGUAUGUUACUACCGUAAAUGUUAUGAUAGAUGCACUUUUGUAUUGUAUUAUAAUUCACAAAAUGUUAGUUUUGAUAGUAGAAUUUAGUGUGUUUUAUCUUUUAUUUUGUAGUUAAUCUUUUCGUACCUGAAUAAAGAGAUUUGAACGGAAGGAAUUAGUAUUUAUUUGGUAUAGACAUCAUACUAUUUGAUAA